GUUAAUGUAGCUUAAAACCAAAGCAACGUACUGAAAAUACCUAGACGA
RNAcentral lists this transfer RNA (48 nucleotides) under Elephas maximus (Asiatic elephant). RNAcentral's name for it is "partial tRNA-Phe". The record is from RNAcentral. Lineage: Eukaryota; Metazoa; Chordata; Mammalia; Proboscidea; Elephantidae.